This 429-nucleotide ribosomal RNA is filed under the name Actinomycetes bacterium. RNAcentral's name for it is "Actinobacteria bacterium partial 16S ribosomal RNA". It matches the Rfam family "Bacterial small subunit ribosomal RNA", at positions 355 to 776 of the family's 1533-position model. Lineage: Bacteria; Bacillati; Actinomycetota; Actinomycetes. The record is from RNAcentral.
UAGGGAAUCUUCCGCAAUGGGCGAAAGCCUGACGGAGCAACGCCGCGUGAGUGAUGAAGGUCUUCGGAUCGUAAAACUCUGUUAUUAGGGAAGAACAAAUGUGUAAGUAACUAUGCACGUCUUGACGGUACCUAAUCAGAAAGCCACGGCUAACUACGUGCCAGCAGCCGCGGUAAUACGUAGGUGGCAAGCGUUAUCCGGAAUUAUUGGGCGUAAAGCGCGCGUAGGCGGUUUUUUAAGUCUGAUGUGAAAGCCCACGGCUCAACCGUGGAGGGUCAUUGGAAGCUGGAAAACUUGAGUGCAGAAGAGGAAAGUGGAAUUCCAUGUGUAGCGGUGAAAUGCGCAGAGAUAUGGGGGAACACCAGUGGCGAAGGCGACUUUCUGGUCUGUAACUGACGCUGAUGUGCGAAAGCGGGGGGAUCAAACAGG